CUCCCGGGUCCUUUCUUCUUGCACUUCUUCGCCGGGAUCUUGUUCUCUCGCCAACUACAUCUCAAUUUCCCUUCUCCCAACUUUGCCUGCCUUCUUGUGCUUCUUGAUCCUCUUCUCUUACGAUGGCGUCCUCUGAUCCGUCUCCAAUAUCCUCCACCGUCUCGAGUGGCGUUCUCUACCUCGUUCUUUUGUCCCCCACCCCGCCAACGCCGCCAGGUGUCCUGAAGCUUCUGCCACGCAGCAAAACCCCUUCUCCAACAUCGCUCCUCCCAAAGAGCAUCUUAGGGUUUUGCUUCUGUGACGAGAGCAAACCUGAAACCAUAUUUAACAACUUCUCAUUGCAGCAGCCCAACCCCAUCGCCACGGUCCUCCCCUCGCCGUAAGGGCCUUUGGUUUUCCCCGUCUCCAAGCAUCCCUCCACGGCCCCCUCCCCAGAACUCCCGCACCAAGUCGAUCAUGGCUCCCGUCCGGAGCCACCACUGGCCUCCAGCACCUCGUCCGGGCGGUUCCAACUUCCGAGGAGCUGGUCUGGGAUUUUGAGUGCCGUAAGGCGACCUCCGUGCCGACCCAAGGAAGGUUUCCUGGCUUGUGGGGAGCCAUCGACUUCCAGACGUCAGGAACGAGCCUGAGGUCUGGGAGCAGGCCUUAAUUGAAGGCGAGCGGUUCUAAGGCCUGGCUGCCCGUUUCUUAGGUAUGGAUGGUAUGGGACGGAUGUUGAGGGCAUUGAUGGAAUCCCCUCUAAUGGCUUCGGGCUUAUCGAUGCCCGGAAGGGUUGUGGUGGAGACUUUUUGGCUUCAUAAGAUGGCUAUUGUGGUAGCUCUGUUUGGUG
Molecule: non-coding RNA, 829 nt
Organism: Elaeis guineensis (African oil palm)
Lineage: Eukaryota; Viridiplantae; Streptophyta; Magnoliopsida; Arecales; Arecaceae
Source: RefSeq, a predicted model, not a curated record